GCAAACUUGGUCAUUUAGAGGAAGUAAAAGUCGUAACAAGGUUUCCGUAGGUGAACCUGCGGAAGGAUCAUUACAGAAAAUACGGAAGGUGCAUGCUUGGAUGUGGGCAAGUCCUACAUCCACACGUGCUCCAUCCAUUUCUAUUCACCCCUUUGUGAACCUUUGCGUGAGUCAGUAUAGGUCAAGUGGCCUAGAAAGCUUGCGACUUCCACAUACCCCUGUAAACGAGUUCUAGAAUGCACCUUGCGUUUAAUCGCAUCCAAUACAACUUUCAGCAACGGAUCUCUUGGCUCUCGCAUCGAUGAAGAACGCAGC
Molecule: unclassified non-coding RNA, 315 nt
Filed under: uncultured fungus
Lineage: Eukaryota; Fungi
Description: partial contains small subunit ribosomal RNA, internal transcribed spacer 1, and 5.8S ribosomal RNA
Rfam family: Eukaryotic small subunit ribosomal RNA (bases 1-73)
Source: RNAcentral